GACGAACGCUGGCGGCGUGCUUAACACAUGCAAGUCGAACGGAAAGGCCCUGCUUGCAGGGUACUCGAGUGGCGAACGGGUGAGUAACACGUGGGUGAUCUGCCCUGCACUUCGGGAUAAGCCUGGGAAACUGGGUCUAAUACCGGAUAGGAGCCAUUUUUAGUGUGAUGGUUGGAAAGUUUUUUCGGUGUAGGAUGAGCUCGCGGCCUAUCAGCUUGUUGGUGGGGUAAUGGCCUACCAAGGCGGCGACGGGUAGCCGGCCUGAGAGGGUGGACGGCCACAUUGGGACUGAGAUACGGCCCAGACUCCUACGGGAGGCAGCAGUGGGGAAUAUUGCACAAUGGGCGCAAGCCAGAUGCAGCGACGCCGCGUGGGGGAUGACGGCCUUCGGGUUGUAAACUCCUUUCGCUAGGGACGAAGCUUUUUGUGACGGUACCUAGAUAAGAAGCACCGGCUAACUACGU
RNAcentral lists this ribosomal RNA (464 nucleotides) under uncultured bacterium. Its description in RNAcentral is "partial 16S ribosomal RNA". It matches the Rfam family "Bacterial small subunit ribosomal RNA", at positions 28 to 506 of the family's 1533-position model. The record is from RNAcentral.